Molecule: transfer RNA, 67 nt
Filed under: Schistosoma mansoni
Lineage: Eukaryota; Metazoa; Platyhelminthes; Trematoda; Strigeidida; Schistosomatidae
Source: RNAcentral
CAGUAGCUGAGUGGAUAACGUGAUGGCGUUUGAAGCGAAAGUUGCUGGGUUCGAGUCCCAGAGUGAA